Gallus gallus (chicken) is the source of this 2355-nucleotide long non-coding RNA. Lineage: Eukaryota; Metazoa; Chordata; Aves; Galliformes; Phasianidae. The record is from Ensembl.
CUCUUGCUAGAGACCUCUGUCUACCUGUGGCUUUCCAAAGGCAUGUAUGCACUGGUUCAGACAUUUUUCCAUUUGAAAUAGCUUGAGUUGGGAAAGAGAAAAACUGUGAAAAUGCUAGUGGAACCCAUAAACCUCAUACUAUGUGAUUAUGCCUCCACAAGAGAAACAGAAGCACGGACCUAUGUUGCUUUUCUGAACGGGCAUACGAUCUGGCAAUAGGCUGUGGCAAUUAAAUAUCAGAACUGAGAUUUCUCAGAAAGAAAUGCUGAAGAGGUUGCCACUUUGCAGAUGUGCUCUUACUGUAUAGAAAUUCCUAUGUGAGGGGGGGAGUACUACAGAGACAACUUAAAAAAUGGGCUAUUACCAUUUUUUCUCUUUUUUUUUAUAAAAGCUAGUAGUGUACAUAAAUCUUCAAGUUAUUUGGUAUUAGAUAAAACAGUGAAUUUUUAUUUCUCUAUGGCAUAUAUUAGCAUGGCGCUUUCUCUAGAUGUAAUAGCCGUAUGGAUUCUGUCUUCUCUAAAUGGCUGUGUGUGGUACGUCAAAAUGUGGCAUGCUUUCUCAGGCUUGGGGCAGGACAAAGAAUAACUGGAGUGAUUUGAAACCAGAAUUUGCUACUAUGUGGAUGGAAGUUAGUGUGACUAGCUUCAGGAGAGAAGAAAUUAAACAUACAGGAGCUGCAGGCUGUUUCCCAGGGUCAACACAGUCCCUAAGCACUAUAUUUGAGUGUUAAACUUCAGAUCUUUGCCUGGAUCCUUGCAAGGUAUCCACAGCCAAGUAUUGCUGGAGACUUCUAAUCAGGGCUUUCUUGCUUCUUGAGACUGCAGUUCAUAAGGAUUGAGUCCCCAUAAUUAAGAGGAUAAUUAAGGAGGAUGAAAACAAGACCUUCUAAAGAGGGCUUGGUGUCCCUUUACCUGCAGAAGUUUGUUCACGUUUCUGCUCAGAUCUGCCAUACUCUUACCUUAUGCCUUAUUGGCAAUGUAAAUUGGCAAUAGCUACCUUUGGUAAACAGGGCUGUCUUCAUUACUUCCUGCUCAAGAGUUUUUCUUCAAAAUAGAUGUUACCUGAUGGAUAUCCGUAAUAAACUUCAGCAUGGUUUUUCUUACAGUUAAAAACUAUGCACUAGGGGCUGCUCUUGAAGAUAACAUUAUACAAAUAUAUGGAAUCUGAGUAUUUCUGUGCGUGUUCUUCCCUUAGGGUAAAUACUUUUCCCAAGAGUUUCUCUCUUCAGUUACAAGUAUUCCUAACAAGUUAACAAGAUGUUAGUAUUCCUUCUUUCCAAAGUCAGGAGAAAUGAUUAAGUGCUUAAAACUGUUUUUAUGAACAAAACAGUAAUGUAGGUUGCAUAGAUCUCUGAUGUAGACAGUUCCACUUCACAUAUUGUGUUUUUAUCCUGUUCAACACAGAAAUACUCUCUGCUUUGUGAUGAUUUAUUAGCACUGAAAUUCCAUCCGUGGUACUCCUCUGUUCAAAAGCUUCUUUCCAGAUGAUCAUAUCUUUUACUCCUACAUCUAAGAAUUUAUUUUUCAUUUCCCGAACCUUCCCCCUUCUUCUAAGUAAUUAGUAUGAAACUCUUUUCUAAGUUUCUCUUCCGUUUCAAAUUCUCCUUACAGUGUAGCAUAUGAUUCAUUAGAGGAAGAACUAUUCCGUGCAUCAAGCUGCAGAUUGGCCUGUGGUUCUCUUCCCCAAGUAUAUUUUCUAAAAUGUAGACUCUGUGUAAGUUAAGAUGUCAUUUGGAAUAUAAAAAUCAGGAUAGAUGACCAUGUCUGUAUUCGCUCCAAUAUGUGGGAUUAAAAACAGCAAGCAAUGGAUAAAAGUAGAUCAAAUGGCUUAUAUAAAAGCAAAGAGAAGUGGAGCAGUGGUUCUAACUCUUAUUCUCACUGUCACAGUGUGAUCAUUGUUUUAUUUACUGCGUAGCACUUUAAUUUCUAAGUCAGCAAUGCAGACAGCAUGUGUUUCACUUAGAAAUGCAGUACAUCCUGCCUUAAAGGUGGCCUGUGAUUGAGCUCCUUUAAACAAUUACUGGGUAUGAAAUGGAUUGAUUGCUCUCACUUAGAUACAGUGCUCAAUUAAUAGAGUUCUAUUAACAUUCAGCUUGGAGAACAAGACAGGACUCGACAGUUAAUUGACUGUUUAGUAGCCUGUUGCAUUUGUAGAUCUGAAACGAACUUUUCUUCACACUUAAUGAGCUAGAGCAUUUUAAAUUGGAAAAAUGUUUGCCAUAGUGCUCCAGCUGUUCCCAUUAUAAAUGCCUGGGGACCCGUCUAGUUUAAUUUGUUAUGCUCUCAUGUAAAGUUCAUGACAAUGUAUUUUAAAUGGUAACAUAUGGAUCAGGAGGAAAAAUAAAUCACCUUUUAC